AGGGUGGCCGGCCAUACUGGGAUUGAGAUACGGCCCAGACUCCUACGGGAGGCAGCAAAUCGGAAUUAUCAACAAUGGGAGAAAUCCUGAUCGUGCGACGCCGCGUGAGCGAUGAAGGCCUUCGGGUCGUAAAGCUCUGUGUUAUGGGAAGAAACCCUGGUAGGUUAAUAACUUAUCAGCUUGACGGUACCAUAAUAGAAAGCCCCGGCUAACUACGUGCCAGCAGCCGCGGUAAUACGUAGGGGGCAAGCGUUGUUCGGAAUCACUGGGCGUAAAGGGCGUACAGGUGGCCAUAUAAGUCGGAUGUGAAAUCCUCAAGCUUAACUUGAGAACUGCAUUCGAAACUGUAUGGCUUGAGAUCAGGAGAGGAGAGUGGAAUAUGUGGUGUAGCGGUGAAAUGCGUAGAUAUCACAUAGAACACCGGUGGCGAAGGCGGCUCUCUGGCCUGAUUCUGACACUGACGCGCGAAAGCUAGGGUAGCGAACGGGAUUAGAUACCCCGGUAGUCCUAGCCGUAAACGAUGGGUACUAAGUGUAGGAGGUCAUCGACCCCCCCUGUGCUGUAGCUAACGCAUUAAGUACCCCGCCUGGGGACUACGGCCGCAAGGCUAAAACUCAAAGUAAUUGACGGGGGCCCGCACAAGCGGUGGAGCAUGCCGCUCAAUUCGAAGCAACGCGAAGAACCUUAUCCAGUGGCUUGACAUCCUUUGAUAGCUGUGGAAACACAGUUUUCCCUUUUGGGACAAAGUGACAGGUGCUGCAUGGCAGUCGUCAGCUCGUGUCGUGAGAUGUUGGGUUAAGUCCCGCAACGAGCGCAACCCCUAUCUUUAGUUACCAGCGGGUAAUGCCGGGCACUCUAGAGAGACUGCCGGUGAUAAGCCGGAGGAAGGUGGGGAUGACGUCAUGUCCUCAUGGCCCUUAUGCCCUGGGCUGCACGCGUGCUACAAUGGCCGGUACAGAGAGUCGUGAAACCGCGAGGUGGAACCAAUCUCAAAAAGCCGGUCCCAGUUGGGAUUGUAGUCUGCAACUCGACUACAUGAACGUGGAAUCGCUAGUAAUCGCGAAUCAGCAGGUCGCGGUGAAUACGUUCCCGGGCCUUGUACACACCGCCCGUCACACCACGAAAGUCGGUAACAUUCGAAGCCGGUAGGCCAACCCUUCGGGGGGGCAGCCGUCGAAAGUGAGACCGAUGAUUGGGGUGAAGUCGUAACAAGGUA
Molecule: ribosomal RNA, 1216 nt
Filed under: metagenome
Description: bacterial SSU rRNA
Rfam family: Bacterial small subunit ribosomal RNA
Source: RNAcentral